CUUCUAUAAAGUGCUUCCUUUAUGAGGGGCCACAUAGGGCUAGGGAAUGCCCUAAGAAGAAUAAACUUUUAGCCCUUCUUGAGGAGAAAGUAGGAGGCCAGCAAAAACAAGCUACCAUGGGUUCCCUGUUCUUGGACGCUGCUAAACAAGAGUCGCCUAAGGAAGUAAAGAAGGGUCAAUUGUUCGUGCAAAUGAAGCUUGGCAGGCAUGAUGUAAAAGCUCUCUUUGAUACGAGUGCAAUUAAUAAUUUUCUGAAGUUAAUAAUUUCCUUGGGGAUCCAAUAUGAGAAGACUCUUGGGUGGUUGAAGGCAGCCAAUUCCAAGCCCUACAUGAUGUAUGGCGUUGCAAAGGAUGUCCGCGUUCAAAUAGGUGAGUGGCAUGGAAUCCUUAACUUUUCAAUUGUGCCCAUGGAUGAUUAUAAUAUUGUUAUUGGCAUGGAAUUUAUGGAUAAAGUUAAAGCUAUCCCUAUUCCUUUAGCCAACUCUAUAUGUAUUUUGGAGAAUGAGAUUUCUUGUUCUGUUCCUUUGUCAAGGAUUGCACCUAGCCAUGGUGCCACACUGUCUGCCAUGCAACUUAUUAAAGGCGUGAAGAGAUAUGAGCCCACUUACUUGGUGGCAGUAAAGGAGGAAGGGGAUGUCCAAGCCGAAGCCAUACCUGAUUCUGUUAUUAAUGUACUUGAUGAGUUCAAGGACGUGAUGCCAUCCGAGCUGCCGAAUAAGCUUCCCACAAUGAGAGAGGUGGAUCACAAGAUUGAUUGGAGCCUAAUGCAAAGCCACCUCACGGAGUCCCCUAUAGGAUGGCCCCUUCUGAGCUGGAUGAGUUGAAGAGGCAACUCAAGGAGCUACUUGAAGUUGGUUUUAUCAAACCGUCCAAAGUUCCAUAUGGUGCACUUGUUCUAUUCAAGAAAAAGAAAGACGAUUCGCUCAGAAUGUGCAUUGACUAUUGAGCUCUCAAUAAGGUGACUGUGAAAAAUAAAUACCCCAUUCCCCUAAUAGCUGAUCUAUUUGACCAGUUGGGCGAAGCUAGAUGGUUUUCAAAGCUGGAUUUGAUGUUGGGAUAUUACCAAGUGAGGAAUGCCAAGGGGAUGAGCCAAAGAUUGCAUGUAUAACGAGGUAUGGGUCAUUUGAAUUCCUUAUUAUGCCAUUUGGUCUCACAAAUGCACCAGCCACAUUCUGCACACUUUGAUGAAUAAAAUAUUUCAGCCCUUUCUUGAUAAAUUUGUGGUAGUAUAUUUGAAUGAUUUCGUGGUGCAGAUGCAUUGAGCCAUGAAGCAGAUUUAGCAGCCGCUAGCCAACCUAAUUUCCCCGUGGAGGAUCGUAUUCGACAAGGGAUGGAGCAUGAUCCGCAAGCUAGGGACUUGUUAAAGCUUGCAAGGGAUGGCCAAUUACAGAGAUUCAGUGCUGAUGGGGACUUGGUGCGCACCAAGACAGGGUGCCUAUUCGUGCCACAGUAGGGGAGUUUGAGGAAGUAGAUCAUUUGGGAAUGCCAUGAUUUGCUUUGGGUUGGCCAUCCAGGGGUCAACCACACAUUAGCCUUAGUUGAACGGGCUUACUAUUGGCCGAGAAUGAAAGACGAUGUGGAGCAAUAUGUGCGAACUUGUCUUGUUUGCCAGCAGGAUAAGAUUGAGCACAGAAGGCCCGCUGGAUUGUUGGAGCCACUGCCCAUUCCCGACAGACCUUGGGAGAGCAUUUCUGUGGAUUUCAUAGUUGGUUUGCUGAAGGUUGAUGGAUGUGGCGUCAUGGUUGUGGUGGACCGAUUCAGUAAGUAUGGGGUCUUCAUUCCAACACCUACAGCCCUCAAUGCUAAAGAUGCAGCCAGACUUUUUCAUUAGACAUGUGAAAUAUUGGGGGAUUCUAUGGUCCAUUGUGAGUGACAGAGAUGUCCGCUUCACAGGCAGGUUCUGGGCUGAGCUAUUUAGGUUGAUGGGUACUGAUUUGAAUUUCUCCACCAGCUUUCAUCCACAAAUCGACAGCCAAACAAAACAGAUUAAUGCUCUUUUGGAAAUGUAUCUGGUGGUUUUAACUUCAGCCAUAAGGACAACCAACCCAAAACAAUUAAAAUAAACAAAAGAUCAGAAGAACAGUACUCGUGAACAGUACCCGAUGAACAAUACUCGUGAACAGUACCCGGUGAACAGAGCCCUAAAUCUCCAAAUGUUACCCUUUAUGAGUAACCCAAAUGAAGAGAUCCCUAAGUCUCCAAAUGUUACCCUUUAUUGGUAAUCCAAAUGAACAUAGCCCUGAGUGUCCAAAUGUAACCCAAAUGAACAAAGUCCUAAGUCUCCAAAAUUUAAAUCUCUAUGUGUGAGACUCUGAUACCAUGUAGAAGGAUAAUAUUUGUUGUAUUUCACAAUAGAGAUUACAACCUAUUUAUACAUGAGAGACAGUAUCUAAACAAGAAGGAAAAUCAAGCUUAUAAUUAUACGAUUCCUAAGAUAAAGCAACUGACCCAUCUAUCAAUAUUUACUUCCUAUAUUAACAUAUUUACUUCCUAUAACUUAUAACAUAGGGGAAAUUAUGUUUAAGAUUGAAAUCUAAAGAACAAACAGUUGAAGACAUGCAUUACGCCAAACAUAAAAUGACCAUACACAAGCGGAAAGCAUGCUUAC
RNAcentral lists this long non-coding RNA (2608 nucleotides) under Manihot esculenta (cassava). RNAcentral describes it as "long non-coding RNA (MESC_LNC004087)". The record is from RNAcentral. Lineage: Eukaryota; Viridiplantae; Streptophyta; Magnoliopsida; Malpighiales; Euphorbiaceae.